CCUACGGGAGGCAGCAGUGAGGAAUAUUCGUCAAUGGACGCGAGUCUGAACGAGCAACGCAGCGUGAGGGAUGACUGCUCUAGGAGUGGUAAACUUCUUUUAUAAAGGAAUAAAGUGAGGAGCGUGUGACUUUUAGUAUGUGAUUUAUGCAUAAGGAUAAGCUAACGCCGUGCCAGCAGCCGCAGGCAUACGGAGGAGCCGAGCGUUAUCCGGAUUUAUUGGGUGUAAAGGGAGGGUAGAUGGGUUGUUACGGUAGUUGUGAAAGUUUGGGGCUUAAGCGUAAAAUUGCAAUUGAUACUGUCUGUCUUGAGUACAGGUGAGGUAGGUGGAAUUCGUGGUGUAGCGGUGAAAUGCGUAGAUAUAACGAAGAACUCCGAUUGCGAAGGCAGCUUACUAACCUGUCACUGACAUUGAUGCUCGAAAGUGUGGGUAUCAAACAGGAUUAGAUACCCUUGUAGUC
RNAcentral lists this ribosomal RNA (460 nucleotides) under uncultured bacterium. RNAcentral's name for it is "partial 16S ribosomal RNA". It matches the Rfam family "Bacterial small subunit ribosomal RNA", at positions 338 to 795 of the family's 1533-position model. The record is from RNAcentral.